GCUACUGCCAUGAUGGGGAGAAGUACGUUGAUUGUUUCUUCGCAGGGAGAGAGGGUCGAGACUGGAAAUCCUCUUAAGAAAAGUCAUCGGAAAGUUCGCCCUUGAGCUGCGGUCUGAAAGUAUAUACAUACGAGUAGGUUUCGCCGGUUCUUCUGCCGUUAUCAGAAGUGGAUAAGUGUUUUUAUCCUCUGAGUGGUUCUUUGUAGUAGAACAAUCUGGGUGGUACCACGGAGAUACUCCGUCCCUAUA
This 249-nucleotide non-coding RNA is filed under the name Desulforamulus reducens. RNAcentral's name for it is "Desulfotomaculum reducens T-box sequence". It matches the Rfam family "T-box leader". Rfam says of the family: Uncharged tRNA acts as the effector for transcription antitermination of genes in the T-box leader family. T-boxes are found upstream of many aminoacyl-tRNA synthetase genes and some amino acid biosynthetic genes usually in Gram-positive bacteria. The anticodon of a specific tRNA base pairs to a specifier sequence within the T-box motif, and the NCCA acceptor tail of the tRNA base pairs to a conserved bulge in the T-box antiterminator hairpin. Lineage: Bacteria; Bacillati; Bacillota; Clostridia; Eubacteriales; Peptococcaceae. The record is from RNAcentral.